Molecule: non-coding RNA, 124 nt
Organism: Caenorhabditis elegans
Lineage: Eukaryota; Metazoa; Nematoda; Chromadorea; Rhabditida; Rhabditidae
Source: RefSeq
GGCUUAAAAAACAACCAAAAACAAAAAAGAAAUCCGUCGAACCGGAUUCGAACCAGUGACCUAAGGAUACCUGCUGACUCUACAGUCCUCCGCUCUACCAACUGAGCUAUCGACGGCACGGAGG